RNAcentral lists this ribosomal RNA (465 nucleotides) under uncultured bacterium. Its description in RNAcentral is "partial 16S ribosomal RNA". It matches the Rfam family "Bacterial small subunit ribosomal RNA", at positions 28 to 507 of the family's 1533-position model. The record is from RNAcentral.
GACGAACGCUGGCGGCGUGCUUAACACAUGCAAGUCGUACGGUAAGGCCCUUUCGGGGGUACACGAGUGGCGAACGGGUGAGUAACACGUGAGUAACCUGCCCACAACUUUGGGAUAACGCUAGGAAACUGGUGCUAAUACUGGAUAUGUGCUCCUGCUGCAUGGUGGGGGUUGGAAAGCUCCGGCGGUUGUGGAUGGACUCGCGGCCUAUCAGCUUGUUGGUGGGGUAGUGGCCUACCAAGGCGGCGACGGGUAGCCGGCCGGAGAGGGUGACCGGCCACAUUGGGACUGAGAUACGGCCCAGACUCCUACGGGAGGCAGCAGUGGGGAAUAUUGCACAAUGGGCGCAAGCCUGAUGCAGCAACGCCGCGUGCGGGAUGACGGCCUUCGGGUUGUAAACCGCUUUCAGCAGGGACGAAGCUUUUUGUGACGGUACCUGCAGAAGAAGCACCGGCUAACUACGUG